GAGGAUAUAGCUCAAUUGGCAGAGUGCGUGCUUAGCAUGCACGAGGUCCUGGGUUCAAUCCCCGCUACCUCCA
RNAcentral lists this transfer RNA (73 nucleotides) under Camelus bactrianus (Bactrian camel). It matches the Rfam family "tRNA". From Rfam's summary of the family: Transfer RNA (tRNA) molecules are approximately 80 nucleotides in length. Their secondary structure includes four short double-helical elements and three loops (D, anti-codon, and T loops). Lineage: Eukaryota; Metazoa; Chordata; Mammalia; Artiodactyla; Camelidae. The record is from Rfam by way of RNAcentral. RNAcentral also lists the same sequence under 2 other names.